RNAcentral lists this ribosomal RNA (520 nucleotides) under Anopheles pseudopunctipennis. RNAcentral describes it as "eukaryotic LSU rRNA". The stretch from base 1 to 120 matches the Rfam family "5.8S ribosomal RNA", at positions 36 to 154 of the family's 154-position model. Lineage: Eukaryota; Metazoa; Arthropoda; Insecta; Diptera; Culicidae. The record is from RNAcentral.
AUGAAGACCGCAGCUAAAUGCGCGUCACAACUGUGAACUGCAGGACACAUGAACACCGAUAAGUUGAACGCAUAUUGCACGUCGUGCGACAUAGCAUGGCGUACACAUUUUUGAGCGCCCAAAUUUCAAACUUCACCUGCGCCGUGUUGGCCCCGCCGGCAGACCAGCGCGCUUACUGAAAGACACCCUAGAUACACCCGUCGAGUGUAGGUGGUUGCCAUUCAAGGAAAUAGUGUGGAUAUUGCAAACCCGUCCGUGUGCACCCAGUGCACGCGCUCCUUAGGGAUCAGGGGGCCCAACACACCUCACCGCCUCACGCCGAGGAGCAAAGAGUAUGUGUGUGUGUUGUUGGCCAUGGAAAGCCCGUCAUGCCCGAAAGAAAGAGAGACAGACUCAGCGCACGCCAUCGAACGAACUGGCUUGGAAAGGUGCGCGCUUGGGAGCAAUGAAAUGAAAUGUGGAUUAGGCGAGCACAACAACAACCUGUGCGUGCGUAACAUUUGGGCCUCAAAUAAUGUGU